UACGUAGGUGGCGAGCGUUAUCCGGAAUUAUUGGGCGUAAAGAGGGAGCAGGCGGCAGCUAAGGUCUGCGGUGAAAGCCCGAAGCUAAACUUCGGUAAGCCGUGGAAACCGAGCAGCUAGAGUGCAGUAGAGGAUCGUGGAAUUCCAUGUGUAGCGGUGAAAUGCGUAGAUAUAUGGAGGAACACCAGUGGCGAAGGCGACGAUCUGGGCUGCAACUGACGCUCAGUCCCGAAAGCGUGGGGAGCAAAUAGG
This 252-nucleotide ribosomal RNA is filed under the name uncultured bacterium. RNAcentral describes it as "partial 16S ribosomal RNA". It matches the Rfam family "Bacterial small subunit ribosomal RNA", at positions 524 to 776 of the family's 1533-position model. The record is from RNAcentral.